Long non-coding RNA from Choloepus didactylus (southern two-toed sloth), 1794 nucleotides. RefSeq lists it as uncharacterized. The transcript is spliced from 2 exons. The record is from RefSeq and is a predicted model, not a curated record. NCBI's taxonomy places the organism in Eukaryota, Metazoa, Chordata, Mammalia, Pilosa, Megalonychidae.
GGGGACAAAAGGAGAUGAAUGAAAAUACAGCCUGGCCCUUGGCACAUAGAAGAAAGUCAUCUCUGGAAACUGUUCUGAUCAAUACACCUGAAAAGGUGGCUUCUUCAUGCUUUUCUUAUAUCCAAAAUUCUUGUGUAUAUGUGUUUUUUCCCUUUCUCUGAAAUCAUUACUUCUAUUUAUACAAACAUGUCAGUCACUUUUAAGUUCUGUCUAUGUCAGUGUGGACACAGUGUAGGAGCUAUGGAUGUAGAUAGAUAGAUAGAUAGAUGGAUAGAUAGAUAGAUAGAUAGACAGACAGACAUGCAAAUAUUGAGCCACUCAAAGUUGCUUUGGCUGCAGCUAGCACCCUCUGAACAUUGAGUUUAUUCAUUGACUCUUUCCUUCAUGCUAUAUGCACUUAUUAAGCACCUACUGACUACAACUUAUACACCAGUCACAACUUACAGCUCUGAUUGGGUUUCAUCAGUGACACCCUGUAAACUUAAUACAGACACAGUUGAUUCUUCUAGUCUUUGGAAGGCACAGAUCUUAUAACUCUCCAUUAAUUAGGGAUAUAUAGAAAAGUAUCUCAGCAAUACUUUUUUCGAAUCACUGAUCUUCCUAUUGUUAAAAAUAACUAGUAAAUUUGUCUUCAAAGAUCACCUAUUUUGUGGUAGAGCUCCGGGAGCUGAACCUCCACCUUCUCUCUCUGGAAAAGAUGGUACUCAGCUUGUUCGCAGACUGGUGGGAUCAUAUUGAAUUGUCUUGCUACAGAAUAGGCUUCCUAGGGAGAAAUAAGAUUGUAAUGGAAUUUAUACUGAUGAGAAACAAGACUUCACUGUGAUUCGUAUGUAUAUGAAAUUUUCAUUUUAGUGAAAUCAGUACAAACCAGGAAACAUAUAAGAUGCCAAAUAACAAGCAAAAUUAAGACCACCAAUUUCAGUAAGAGCAAAACCAAAUGCAGGGAAUUCUUAUUAUUCUUUGGGAGAGUUUGGACUGUAAAGUCCAGAGCAAAGAAGUCAAAGCAUGAAUUAUGGACUACUGUAAAGAAAAUGUAGUUUGACUGCUUUUAAGUUCAUAGAGAAACAAAACUUAGAUUAACAUAUAAUAAUGAACUGUAAUUAACAUGGUUUAAACUGUGUAGCUUUUAUUUAAUCUGAGUUUUAAAAGAAAUAGAAUACUCUGUUCAUAUAUUUCAUUAGCUGUGAAAUUCCCUUUACCCUCUUGUCACAAAGACCAUGCUAAAACACGAUUCCUGUUAGAGACCUGAGUUGUCCCUGAUGUAUUCUGAACUGAUGAGAUCCAGCCCCAUAUCCAUCUCUUAUCACUAUAGAAUUGAUCAUGGAAUUCCAGUGCCAUAGUGAUAGUGAGAAAACUUUACCAAAGAUCUUGCAGUUUGCAUAUGGUAUCUGAAAAAUAAUAAUAAAGUGCUCAAUGGCCAUUUAAAAACAGAAAUUAAAUUACCAUGAUCUCCAUAGCACUCCACCGCGAGGUGCCCCAGUACAUCGCCAUUCCUUGGUUUAUCACGUGUGUCAUGGCUCGGACAAUUUCUAUGAAAGGCCAAACAGACAGCAUUUCAUGAAUUUGUCAAUGUUUCAAAGUCAUGCAGGCUUUGUUUUUUUCCAUCCUAAAGCUUAGAAGUUUAAUGCAAUUAGUAGUUUGAUUAAUAUAAUUACUUUGAUAUUGAUGACACAAUAGUCUAACAUGUAAUAUCAAUGGUUUGGAGGCUAACAGUACUUUUAGGUAAAUGGAACUUCCAUUUUCAGUUUGUAGCCACAGUGCAAUAUGAUAUUAAAACCAGAAUGACCACUUUGA